Molecule: non-coding RNA, 571 nt
Organism: Nylanderia fulva
Lineage: Eukaryota; Metazoa; Arthropoda; Insecta; Hymenoptera; Formicidae
Source: RefSeq, a predicted model, not a curated record
ACCUGUUUUGUGAUAAUUGCUAUAAUAAUUAUCCAAUUUUAUCCGAUUAUCUUUGAUCUUAUUUCGCCAUUGGAUGAACCACGACCAUGCAAACUUAUUAUUGGGCUGGAAUAUUUUGUCCCACAAGAUAAAUAUUUCAUCACCAAAGCAUUGCACGAACUCAUAAGUGCAAUAAUAUGUGGGUUAAUAAUGUUAACCACGGCAACGCAAAUGUUAAUAUUUAUCGUGCAUUCUAUCGGGAUGUUUAAAAUUGCUAGGUGACGAUCGAUUUAUAUCGGCGAUUCGAUCACGAAUUAAUAUUAAAAAUAUUUGCAGUUAUCGAGUAAGAUAUUCCCUAGAGGAUAGCGUACUGUACAUGUCAAAUAUGGAAAAAGAACGCGCAAUUUACGAAAGCAUAAUGCAAAUCGUAAUUGCACACCGCAAAGCUAUGAAAUCCUCCGAUGUUGUGAUUUCAAUAUUUAAUGUGCCAGUUAGCAUAAUAGCUAUACUUGCAGUACUUUCGUUGAGCACGAAUUUAUUUAGAUUUCUUGAAGCGAUAAAUUUAAAAGACACAGUCGAUCUAGGAAUAUCU